UAAGCGACUAAGCGUACACGGUGGAUGCCUAGGCAGUCAGAGGCGAUGAAGGGCGUGCUAAUCUGCGAAAAGCGUCGGUAAGCUGAUAUGAAGCGUUAUAACCGACGAUACCCGAAUGGGGAAACCCAGUGCAAUACGUUGCACUAUCGUUAGAUGAAUACAUAGUCUAACGAGGCGAACCGGGGAACUGAAACAUCUAAGUACCCCGAGGAAAAGAAAUCAACCGAGAUUCCCCCAGUAGCGGCGAGCGAACGGGGAGGAGCCCAGAGUCUGAAUCAGUUUGUGUGUUAGUGGAAGCGUCUGGAAAGUCGCACGGUACAGGGUGAUAGUCCCGUACACCAAAAUGCAUAGGCUGUGAACUCGAUGAGUAGGGCGGGACACGUGACAUCCUGUCUGAAUAUGGGGGGACCAUCCUCCAAGGCUAAAUACUCCUGACUGACCGAUAGUGAACCAGUACCGUGAGGGAAAGGCGAAAAGAACCCCGGCGAGGGGAGUGAAAUAGAACCUGAAACCGUGUACGUACAAGCAGUGGGAGCACCUUCGUGGUGUGACUGCGUACCUUUUGUAUAAUGGGUCAGCGACUUAUAUUUUGUAGCAAGGUUAACCGAAUAGGGGAGCCGUAGGGAAACCGAGUCUUAACUGGGCGUCUAGUUGCAAGGUAUAGACCCGAAACCCGGUGAUCUAGCCAUGGGCAGGUUGAAGGUUGGGUAACACUAACUGGAGGACCGAACCGACUAAUGUUGAAAAAUUAGCGGAUGACUUGUGGCUGGGGGUGAAAGGCCAAUCAAACCGGGAGAUAGCUGGUUCUCCCCGAAAGCUAUUUAGGUAGCGCCUCGUGAACUCAUCUUCGGGGGUAGAGCACUGUUUCGGCUAGGGGGCCAUCCCGGCUUACCAAACCGAUGCAAACUCCGAAUACCGAAGAAUGUUAUCACGGGAGACACACGGCGGGUGCUAACGUCCGUCGUGAAGAGGGAAACAACCCAGACCGCCAGCUAAGGUCCCAAAGUCAUGGUUAAGUGGGAAACGAUGUGGGAAGGCACAGACAGCCAGGAUGUUGGCUUAGAAGCAGCCAUCAUUUAAAGAAAGCGUAAUAGCUCACUGGUCGAGUCGGCCUGCGCGGAAGAUGUAACGGGGCUAAACCAUGCACCGAAGCUGCGGCAGCGACACUUAGGUGUUGUUGGGUAGGGGAGCGUUCUGUAAGCCGUUGAAGGUGACCUGUGAGGGUUGCUGGAGGUAUCAGAAGUGCGAAUGCUGACAUAAGUAACGAUAAUGCGGGUGAAAAACCCGCACGCCGGAAGACCAAGGGUUCCUGUCCAACGUUAAUCGGGGCAGGGUGAGUCGACCCCUAAGGCGAGGCUGAAAAGCGUAGUCGAUGGGAAACAGGUUAAUAUUCCUGUACUUGGUGUUACUGCGAAGGGGGACGGAGAAGGCUAGGCUGGCCGGGCGACGGUUGUCCCGGUUUAAGCGUGUAGGGGGAGUGACCAGGUAAAUCCGGUUGCUUAUCAACCCUGAGGCGUGAUGACGAUGCACUACGGUGCAGAAGCAGUUGAUGCCAUGCUUCCAGGAAAAGCCUCUAAGCAUCAGGUAACAUUAAAUCGUACCCCAAACCGACACAGGUGGUCAGGUAGAGAAUACUCAGGCGCUUGAGAGAACUCGGGUGAAGGAACUAGGCAAAAUGGUGCCGUAACUUCGGGAGAAGGCACGCUGGCGUUAGGUGAAAGGACUAGCUCCUGGAGCUGAAGCCAGUCGCAGAUACCAGCUGGCUGCAACUGUUUAAUAAAACACAGCACUGUGCAAACACGAAAGUGGACGUAUACGGUGUGACGCCUGCCCGGUGCUGGAAGGUUAAUUGAUGGGGUCAGCCGCAAGGCGAAGCUCUUGAUCGAAGCCCCAGUAAACGGCGGCCGUAACUAUAACGGUCCUAAGGUAGCGAAAUUCCUUGUCGGGUAAGUUCCGACCUGCACGAAUGGCGUAAUGAUGGCCAGGCUGUCUCCACCCGAGACUCAGUGAAAUUGAACUCGCUGUGAAGAUGCAGUGUACCCGCGGCAAGACGGAAAGACCCCCGUGAACCUUUACUAUAGCUUGACACUGAACAUUGAGCCUUGAUGUGUAGGAUAGGUGGGAGGCCUUGAAGUGUGGACGCCAGUCUGCAUGGAGCCAACCUUGAAAUACCACCCUUUAAUGUUUGAUGUUCUAACUCGGCCCCAUAAUCUGGGGUGAGGACAGUGUCUGGUGGGUAGUUUGACUGGGGCGGUCUCCUCCCAAAGAGUAACGGAGGAGCACGAAGGUUAGCUAAUCACGGUCGGACAUCGUGAGGUUAGUGCAAAGGCAUAAGCUAGCUUGACUGCGAGAGUGACGGCUCGAGCAGGUACGAAAGUAGGUCUUAGUGAUCCGGUGGUUCUGAAUGGAAGGGCCAUCGCUCAACGGAUAAAAGGUACUCCGGGGAUAACAGGCUGAUACCGCCCAAGAGUUCAUAUCGACGGCGGUGUUUGGCACCUCGAUGUCGGCUCAUCACAUCCUGGGGCUGAAGUAGGUCCCAAGGGUAUGGCUGUUCGCCAUUUAAAGUGGUACGCGAGCUGGGUUUAGAACGUCGUGAGACAGUUCGGUCCCUAUCUGCCGUGGGCGUUGGAAGAUUGAGAGGGGCUGCUCCUAGUACGAGAGGACCGGAGUGGACGAAUCACUGGUGUUCGGGUUGUCAUGCCAAUGGCAUUGCCCGGUAGCUAAAUUCGGAAGAGAUAACCGCUGAAAGCAUCUAAGCGGGAAACUUGCCUCGAGAUGAGUCUUCCCUGGGGCUUAAAGUCCCCUGAAGGAACGUUAAAGACUAUGACGUUGAUAGGCUGGGUGUGUAAGUGCAGCGAUGUAUUGAGCUAACCAGUACUAAUGAUCCGUGAGGCUUAACCU
This 2901-nucleotide ribosomal RNA is filed under the name Yersinia pseudotuberculosis. Its description in RNAcentral is "bacterial LSU rRNA". It matches the Rfam family "Bacterial large subunit ribosomal RNA". Lineage: Bacteria; Pseudomonadati; Pseudomonadota; Gammaproteobacteria; Enterobacterales; Yersiniaceae. The record is from RNAcentral.